UGCCAGACUCCUACGGGAGGCAGCAGUGGGGAAUAUUGCACAAUGGGGGAAACCCUGAUGCAGCGACGCCGCGUGAGUGAAGAAGUAUCUCGGUACGUAAAGCUCUAUCAGCAGGGAAGAAAAAAAGUCCUUCGGACUUUGGACGGUACCUGAUUAAGAAGCCCCGGCUAACUACGUGCCAGCAGCCGCGGUAAUACGUAGGGGGCAAGCGUUAUCCGGAUUUACUGGGUGUAAAGGGAGCGUAGACGGCAGCGCAAGUCUGGAGUGAAAGCCCGGGGCCCAACCCCGGGACUGCUCUUGGAACUGCGUGGCUGGAGUGCAGGAGGGGCAGGCGGAAUUCCUAGUGUAGCGGUGAAAUGCGUAGAUAUUAGGAGGAACACCAGUGGCGAAGGCGGCCUGCUGGACUGCAACUGACGUUGAGGCUCGAAGGCGUGGGGAGCAAACAGGAUUAGAUACCCCGGUAC
Molecule: ribosomal RNA, 464 nt
Filed under: uncultured bacterium
Lineage: Bacteria
Description: bacterial SSU rRNA
Rfam family: Bacterial small subunit ribosomal RNA
Source: RNAcentral